GAUGAACGCUGGCGGCGUGCCUAAUACAUGCAAGUCGAGCGAACAGACGAGGAGCUUGCUCCUUUGACGUUAGCGGCGGACGGGUGAGUAACACGUGGAUAACCUACCUAUAAGACUGGGAUAACUUCGGGAAACCGGAGCUAAUACCGGAUAAUAUAUUGAACCGCAUGGUUCAAUAGUGAAAGACGGUUUUGCUGUCACUUAUAGAUGGAUCCGCGCCGCAUUAGCUAGUUGGUAAGGUAACGGCUUACCAAGGCAACGAUGCGUAGCCGACCUGAGAGGGUGAUCGGCCACACUGGAACUGAGACACGGUCCAGACCCCUACGGGAGGCAGCAGUAGGGAAUCUUCCGCAAUGGGCGAAAGCCUGACGGAGCAACGCCGCGUGAGUGAUGAAGGUCUUCGGAUCGUAAAACUCUGUUAUUAGGGAAGAACAAAUGUGUAAGUAACUAUGCACGUCUUGACGGUACCUAAUCAGAAAGCCACGGCUAACUACGUG
This 497-nucleotide ribosomal RNA is filed under the name uncultured bacterium. Its description in RNAcentral is "partial 16S ribosomal RNA". It matches the Rfam family "Bacterial small subunit ribosomal RNA", at positions 28 to 507 of the family's 1533-position model. The record is from RNAcentral.